CUGCUGCCUGCGUGACUUCCUGCUUCUUGGUUCAUGGAGGGAGGUGGAGCCCAAAUUCACCUUUCUUUAAGGGUUAACAUGGCGUUGGAAUGAGGAGAGUCAGUUAAAGUAUGGAUUUUCUAUGAAUUUAUAAAGCUAGGUAUCUUCCCUGAGCUUUCAAGUCGAAACAGCAGGCAACUGCGAUGCCGUCGAAACCACCCCGUUUCAGAGCAGGUGGUCAGUCUGCUAGUGGACCUCUGGGUGCCUCGCAAGGAUUUCUGACUCCUGGUGGUUUUCCCAGAGCAAAGCAACAAAAGGCUAAGUUUAUACAUCUGAACUGGGGGGGAAGGAGGAGGAGGAAGA
Long non-coding RNA from Lacerta agilis (Sand lizard), 342 nucleotides. RefSeq lists it as uncharacterized. The record is from RefSeq and is a predicted model, not a curated record. The transcript is spliced from 3 exons. NCBI's taxonomy places the organism in Eukaryota, Metazoa, Chordata, Lepidosauria, Squamata, Lacertidae.